UGUGUGUGUAUGUAUAUAUAUGUAUGUAUACAUACACACACACACACACACACACACACACACACACAC
RNAcentral lists this microRNA precursor (69 nucleotides) under Myotis lucifugus (little brown bat). RNAcentral describes it as "miRNA (ENSMLUG00000020245.2)". Lineage: Eukaryota; Metazoa; Chordata; Mammalia; Chiroptera; Vespertilionidae. The record is from RNAcentral.